CUUUACUGAAGUUGUUCCCUGAUGUUAUGAUAAAAAAGAAAGGGCCUGAGUCUAUGUAGUUGUAGUCUGGUGCCUGCUUUCAAAUGUUUAUUCUUAAAAAACCAAACAUACACCUGAUCCAAAAUGUUAUCAGCAGUUUUCUUUUAAAAGAAUACUUAAUUAGUUGUACCUUCUAGUUUAUUGCUGUUCCUGCAUAUGUGUGAUGCAGGACGCUAAUUCUGAUUGUUCUCUAAGAAUCCUAUACAGAAAUAUGGAUGAAGAUACUCAGAAGACACUACAUGUAACACUGCCAGCAGAAGAGUCCAGAAAUGGAUCUGUAAGCUACCUCCUUCAACUGACAAUGACUGUGCGACACUUGGACUCCCAGGAAAAGCCAUCUAGCACAGAUGGGGACAAAGAAAGGAAAAUAAAUGCUACAGUCAGGCUUAUAAAUCUCUUCUGAGACAGGUUUAUAUUUCCAUGAAGAACAGUCAUCUUCCAGUACAAGCAUGCUCAAAAGCCUGUUUACGUAAUUGCUGAGAAGUAGGACAACUGCUGAAACCUCUACCCCACUCUAUCCCACAGAGUUAACCAGCCCCAACUAUGCGUACAUAGUUGCUCUCUAUUGGCCUAGCAGUGGGUAUGAAUUGUGUGUGUUUGACCAUCUUGGGGCCUGUUAAAAUAGAACCCAUUAUUUGAAAUAAAGACAGAGGAGAGGAAUUGACA
This 705-nucleotide long non-coding RNA is filed under the name Anser brachyrhynchus (Pink-footed goose). RNAcentral describes it as "lncRNA (ENSABRG00000001644.1)". The record is from RNAcentral. Lineage: Eukaryota; Metazoa; Chordata; Aves; Anseriformes; Anatidae.